Molecule: ribosomal RNA, 789 nt
Filed under: uncultured Staphylococcus sp.
Lineage: Bacteria; Bacillati; Bacillota; Bacilli; Caryophanales; Staphylococcaceae
Description: bacterial SSU rRNA
Rfam family: Bacterial small subunit ribosomal RNA
Source: RNAcentral
UAUAAGACUGGGAUAACUUCGGGAAACCGGGGCUAAUGCCGGAUAACAUAUAGAACCGCAUGGUUCUAUAGUGAAAGAUGGUUUUGCUAUCACUUAUAGAUGGACCCGCGCCGUAUUAGCUAGUUGGUAAGGUAAUGGCUUACCAAGGCGACGAUACGUAGCCGACCUGAGAGGGUGAUCGGCCACACUGGAACUGAGACACGGUCCAGACUCCUACGGGAGGCAGCAGUAGGGAAUCUUCCGCAAUGGGCGAAAGCCUGACGGAGCAACGCCGCGUGAGUGAUGAAGGGUUUCGGCUCGUAAAACUCUGUUAUUAGGGAAGAACAUAUGUGUAAGUAACUGUGCACAUCUUGACGGUACCUAAUCAGAAAGCCACGGCUAACUACGUGCCAGCAGCCGCGGUAAUACGUAGGUGGCAAGCGUUAUCCGGAAUUAUUGGGCGUAAAGCGCGCGUAGGCGGUUUCUUAAGUCUGAUGUGAAAGCCCACGGCUCAACCGUGGAGGGUCAUUGGAAACUGGGAAACUUGAGUGCAGAAGAGGAAAGUGGAAUUCCAUGUGUAGCGGUGAAAUGCGCAGAGAUAUGGAGGAACACCAGUGGCGAAGGCGACUUUCUGGUCUGUAACUGACGCUGAUGUGCGAAAGCGUGGGGAUCAAACAGGAUUAGAUACCCUGGUAGUCCACGCCGUAAACGAUGAGUGCUAAGUGUUAGGGGGUUUCCGCCCCUUAGUGCUGCAGCUAACGCAUUAAGCACUCCGCCUGGGGAGUACGACCGCAAGGUUGAAACUCAGAG